GAAACCGGAGCUAAUACCGGAUAAUAUUUCGAACCGCAGGUUCGAUAGUGAAAGAUGGCUUUGCUAUCACUUAUAGAUGGACCUGCGCCGUAUUAGCUAGUUGGUAAGGUAACGGCUUACCAAGGCAACGAUACGUAGCCGACCUGAGAGGGUGAUCGGCCACACUGGAACUGAGACACGGUCCAGACUCCUACGGGAGGCAGCAGUAGGGAAUCUUCCGCAAUGGGCGAAAGCCUGACGGAGCAACGCCGCGUGAGUGAUGAAGGUCUUCGGAUCGUAAAACUCUGUUAUUAGGGAAGAACAAACGUGUAAGUAACUGUGCACGUCUUGACGGUACCUAAUCAGAAAGCCACGGCUAACUACGUGCCAGCAGCCGCGGUAAUACGUAGGUGGCAAGCGUUAUCCGGAAUUAUUGGGCGUAAAGCGCGCGUAGGCGGUUUUUUAAGUCUGAUGUGAAAGCCCACGGCUCAACCGUGGAGGGUCAUUGGAAACUGGAAAACUUGAGUGCAGAAGAGGAAAGUGGAAUUCCAUGUGUAGCGGUGAAAUGCGCAGAGAUAUGGAGGAACACCAGUGGCGAAGGCGACUUUCUGGUCUGUAACUGACGCUGAUGUGCGAAAGCGUGGGGAUCAAACAGGAUUAGAUACCCUGGUAGUCCACGCCGUAAACGAUGAGUGCUAAGUGUUAGGGGGUUUCCGCCCCUUAGUGCUGCAGCUAACGCAUUAAGCACUCCGCCUGGGGAGUACGACCGCAAGGUUGAAACUCAAAGGAAUUGACGGGGACCCGCACAAGCGG
Molecule: ribosomal RNA, 792 nt
Filed under: Staphylococcus hominis
Lineage: Bacteria; Bacillati; Bacillota; Bacilli; Caryophanales; Staphylococcaceae
Description: bacterial SSU rRNA
Rfam family: Bacterial small subunit ribosomal RNA
Source: RNAcentral